This 304-nucleotide ribosomal RNA is filed under the name uncultured bacterium. Its description in RNAcentral is "bacterial SSU rRNA". It matches the Rfam family "Bacterial small subunit ribosomal RNA", at positions 507 to 793 of the family's 1533-position model. The record is from RNAcentral.
GCCAGCAGACCGCGGUAAUACGGAGGGUGCGAGCGUUAAUCGGAAGUUACUGGGCGUAAAGACGCAUGCAGGUGGUUUGGUUUAAGUACAGAUGUGAAAGACCCGGGGCGUCAACCUACGGAAUUGCAUUUGAAACUAGGCAGACUAGAGUACUGUAGAGGGGGGGUAGGAAUUUACAGGUAGUAGCGGUGAAAUGCGUAGAGAUCUGAAGGAAUACCGGUGGCGAAGGCGGCCCCCCUGGACAGAUACUGACACUCAGAUGCGAAAGCGUGGGGGAGCAAACAGGAUUAGAUACCCCUGGUAG